UCCCAGCUGACGAGUUCCAAAUAGGACGAAACGCGCGUCCUGGAU
RNAcentral lists this non-coding RNA (45 nucleotides) under Schistosoma margrebowiei. Lineage: Eukaryota; Metazoa; Platyhelminthes; Trematoda; Strigeidida; Schistosomatidae. The record is from RNAcentral.